This 468-nucleotide ribosomal RNA is filed under the name uncultured bacterium. RNAcentral describes it as "partial 16S ribosomal RNA". It matches the Rfam family "Bacterial small subunit ribosomal RNA", at positions 28 to 507 of the family's 1533-position model. The record is from RNAcentral.
GACGAACGCUGGCGGCGUGCUUAACACAUGCAAGUCGAACGGAAAGGCCCUGCUUUUGUGGGGUGCCCGAGUGGCGAACGGGUGAGUAACACGUGAGUAACCUGCCCUUGACUUUGGGAUAACUUCAGGAAACUGGGGCUAAUACCGGAUAGGAGCUCCUGCUGCAUGGUGGGGGUUGGAAAGUUUCGGCGGGUGGGGAUGGACUCGCGGCUUAUCAGCUUGUUGGUGGGGUAGUGGCUUGCCAAGGCUUUGGCGGGUAGCCGGCCUGAGAGGGUGACCGGCCACAAGGGUACUGCGAUACGGAGCAGAGUGCUACGGGAGGCAGCAGUGGGGAAUAUGGCACAAUGGGAGGAAGCCUGAGGCAGCAACGCUGCGUUCGGGAUGACGGCCUUCGGGUUGUAAACCGCUGUCGCCUGUGACGAAGCGUGAGUGACGGUAAUGGGUAAAGAAGCACCGGCUAACUACGUG